AAAAACAUAAUUUAUUGAGUUAAAUUUAUUAAGAAUUUCUUGGGAACUAUAUUGAAUCAAUGGAAGUCACCCCUCUAGCUACAUAUCAAUCCCAAUCCAUUCCAUAUCUCAUUACAUAAUAGGAACUCUGAAAUAUUUCAUGGGGAAGUGAUUACCUGACCUGUCACAUAGAUGCAGUUCAGGCAUUUCAGGUGAAGAGCUUCCCUUGACAAUGGCAUUCAUGGCAGAGUUACGCUGCUCGGGGCAAGUGCUUCUACGCUAGAUUUAUUGAUUUAACAUCCUGCUUUCUUUUAAGAGCAAAUGUAACUGUUGAUAGGCGAUAACAUGAGCAGAAUUAAUAUUUAGGCUCUCUUUGUUUUAUGAUGGCAUGCUUCAAUCUGUUCCAAUGUAUCAACAAUUUCUUUCAUGGAUGGUCGGAAUUUGGGUUCUUGUUGAAGACACUUAAUAGCAAGCUGAGCUAUUUGCGAGGCUUCCUUGUAGGGAUAUUUCCCCUCUAACCGGGAGUCCAUUAUUUUUUUCAACUUCCUUUUGCUUGAUAGAUAUGGUUUCACCCAAUCCACAAGUACCCACUGCUCUGUCGGACGUCUUUUAUCAAUUGCACGUAAGCCUGUUAGAAUCUCAACCAUAACAACUCCAAAACCGUACACAUCAGCCUUUACGUACAAACGCCCUGUGGCAAUGUACUUUGGGUCCAUAUAACCAGCAGUGCCUGAAAAACUUCUUGUGGCAUGUGAAGAACUAGCGAAAGAACCCAAAAAUGCCAAGCCAAAGUCUGAAAUUUUUGCAUUAUAAGACUUAUCAAGAAGUAUAUUUGAAGACUUGAGAUCUCUGUGAAUUAUUGGUGCAUCUAGCGUGUGCAUGUAUGCCAGUCCUCGAGCUAUUCCUAAAGCAAUCUUAAACCUUAUGUCCCAUGGAAGUGGCCGAACGGAGCCCUUUCCAAAUAGUUGGUAAUUUAAGCUGCCAUUCUGCAAUAAUUCAUACACAAGGAGGAAUUUUUCAUUCUCCAAACAGUAUCCCAACAACUUCACAAGGUUAGGGUGAGAAAGCUUUCCCAAAAUUCGCACCUCUGACAACCACUCUUCAAAUCCUUGCCUGCCCAUAGUAUCCAAUUUCUUGACAGCGAUGACCGAUUUCUUUUUGCCCUCAGAUGGCACAUACUCCUUGAGCCCCCCUUUAUAAACUUUUCCAAAACCUCCCCUUCCCAAGAGCAUAUCUCUUCUAAAAUUGUGGGUGGCAGCCUUCAACUGUGCAUAUGUGAAAACUCUCAAGGUUUCACCAGCAAUAAUAUCCCCAUUAGAAAGACCCUCAAAAUCAAUUCCUUCUGAGGCUUGGCUGUUCUCAGUGGCAUUAUUAGUCCCAGGAACUGUUAAACUGGUACUCACUUGAGAUGCCCAUGUGAAAUUGGUGCUUGCCACAGUCUGCCAGCUCCUGUCACUAACAAGAGAUGUAUCAGGAUUCAGACGGUCGAUGGUGGUUGAUAUUGGUGGUGGGUCUGGGGAUGGCACAUCAGCAGGCGAGCUCCAGCAAAUCCCCAUUAAUUACUUCUGUAUCCUUUCCUUUCUUCCUUGCAGAAUGGAUAGAGGGAGAGGGAGAGGGAGAGAGAGAUAUGAGAAGUCAUUGUCAAAAAAUUAUUAUUUAAUUCC
This 1643-nucleotide unclassified non-coding RNA is filed under the name Hevea brasiliensis (rubber tree). The record is from RNAcentral. Lineage: Eukaryota; Viridiplantae; Streptophyta; Magnoliopsida; Malpighiales; Euphorbiaceae.